RNAcentral lists this ribosomal RNA (460 nucleotides) under uncultured bacterium. Its description in RNAcentral is "partial 16S ribosomal RNA". It matches the Rfam family "Bacterial small subunit ribosomal RNA", at positions 338 to 795 of the family's 1533-position model. The record is from RNAcentral.
CCUACGGGUGGCAGCAGUGAGGAAUAUUUGUCAAUGGACGAGAGUCUGAACCAGCCAAGUAGCGUGAAGGAUGACUGCCCUAUGGGUUGUAAACUUCUUUUGUCAAGGAAUAAAACGAGGCACGUGUGCCUUUUUGCAUGUACUUUAUGAAUAAGGAUCGGCUAACUCCGUGCCAGCAGCCGCGGUAAUACGGAGGAUCCGAGCGUUAUCCGGAUUUAUUGGGUUUAAAGGGAGCGUAGAUGGGUUGUUAAGUCAGUUGUGAAAGUUUGCGGCUCAACCCUAUUACCGCCAUUGAUACUGGGAGUCUUGAGUACAGGUGAAGUAGGCGGAAUGCGUGGUGUAGCGGUGAAAUGCAUAGAUAUCACGAAGAACUCCGAUUGCGAAGGCAGCAUACUACAGCGCGACUGACACUGAAGCUCGAAGGCGCGGGUAUCGAACAGGAUUAGAUACCCUGGUAGUC